CAAAAUGGCAUUGGCUAGGUUUUUUUCAGCCUCAUGUUGGCCAAAAUAAGAGCCUUUCUUUAAACCAGUGUUCUAAAACAUUCAUCAUCUCAACUGUUUUGGAUUAUCAGUUGGCUGCAAACCAGGGGGUCACCCAUGGCAGCAUGGUACAGACCAUGUCUGUAGGUUUUCUUUUCUUUUGAUUCCAAUGAGAACAUCAGAGAAACAAAGAGCACUUCUUUGCAAGAUGGACUCUUCUAGAGAAGAUGGUCGGCCAAUGGACUGUGGAGACAAAGCCCAGCACUUGGAAUGAUGCUGUCCCACAGAGGACACUCAGUAAAUGCAGUGUCUGCGUCAAUGACUAAAGAACCCAGAAACCCGCUUGCCUGUCCCCUAUAUUGGAUGCUCAAGCAUCAUGGCAUCAUUUCCAGUGGAGUCGCUGAACUUGUAGGUUGUCUACCUGACACCUCGAGGUCCUUACACCAAGAAGUCAGCUGUGAAGCCCGCUGAGUCCUCGGGUGGAUGUCUGCCACCACAUACAUAGCCUUUGCUGGUGGCUUGGAGAGCUGGCAGGUCAGCCACAGAAAGUGGGCAAGACCUAGUCAGUAGCGACAGGAUAUGUUCCCAGGAUGGACAGCUGCCUGAUAUGCGUUCAGUUCCAGUGCCAAAGCCAAGGGCUGCCAGUGCCCUUCCUUCAUGCUAAGGACUUCUCUCUCUCCAGGACAGCGGAUGCCUGUUUGGAAGGCUGGAUUGGACUGAGCCACAUGGCAGAGCCUUGGAGAUGGCAGGGGAGGGAAGUCGAAGACAUGGGCAAGUCUCAG
RNAcentral lists this long non-coding RNA (800 nucleotides) under Homo sapiens (human). Its description in RNAcentral is "HSALNT0345902". Lineage: Eukaryota; Metazoa; Chordata; Mammalia; Primates; Hominidae. The record is from RNAcentral.